GACGAACGCUGGCGGCGUGCUUAACACAUGCAAGUCGAACGGAAAGGCCCUGCUUUUGUGGGGUUCUCGAGUGGCGAACGGGUGAGUAACACGUGAGUAACCUGCCCUUGACUUUGGGAUAACUUCAGGAAACUGGGGCUAAUACCGGAUAGGAGCUCCUGCUGCAUGGUGGGGGUUAGAAAGUUUCGGCGGUUGGGGAUGGACUCGCGGCUUAUCAGCUUGUUGGUGGGGUAGUGGCUUACCAAGGCUUUGACGGGUAGCCGGCCUGAGAGGGUGACCGGCCACAUUGGGACUGAGAUACGGCCCAGACUCCUACGGGAGGCAGCAGGGGGGAAUAUUGCAGAAUGGGCGGAAGCCUGAUGCAGCAACGCCGCGUGCGGGAUGACGGCCUUCGGGUUGUAAACAGCUUUCGCCUGUGACGAAGAGUGAGUGACGGUAAUGGGUAAAGAAGCACCGGCUAACUACGUG
This 468-nucleotide ribosomal RNA is filed under the name uncultured bacterium. RNAcentral describes it as "partial 16S ribosomal RNA". It matches the Rfam family "Bacterial small subunit ribosomal RNA", at positions 28 to 507 of the family's 1533-position model. The record is from RNAcentral.